This 211-nucleotide unclassified non-coding RNA is filed under the name Hevea brasiliensis (rubber tree). The record is from RNAcentral. Lineage: Eukaryota; Viridiplantae; Streptophyta; Magnoliopsida; Malpighiales; Euphorbiaceae.
AAAGUAUUAGAGAGAGAAAGUGUAGAGAGAGAAUGAAAGAAGGGAAAAGGAAAAGCUCAAGGCUUCAGUCGGAAGCCGCCGGAGCGGGGAGUAGCCGCAAGUUGGAUUUGGACGGAGUAGCUGCUGAGCGUCAAGAGAGGAAUGGAUAUCCUGAAGAUGCCGGCAGCAAAUGCGAGGAGGAACCGUUGGCCGGAGAAGGAGAAGGAGAAGG